UGGUUCAUCUGAUGAUUAAUUUCACUCCUUUUUUUUUUUUUUUUGUUCUUGCUAUAAACCAACUGGUACAUUGUGAUUGAUAAGAAGCUGCAUUCUUAGCGUGGACAGUUAGGAGGAGGAGUUGGGCGAGUAGUCGUUUCUGUAGCCAAAUGGUUGGCCCAUUCAUCCCUGGAAUACCCACAUGUUUUGGGACCCAGAGAGAGACAACUAAGGAGGUAGUAAGACUCAAGUCCGAGAAAAAGUCAUGAAUAGCAGAGAUCAUGGGUAACGAGCAAUACCAAUCACAGUCAUUGCUCACUGUGUCGCUAGUAAUUAGGAUGUGUUUGAGGGAUGUUUGCUUAACACAACCUAGGGCUCUGUCAACUCAACUGUAAAAACACAUUACUGGAAACACAUGUUGUUCCUGACUGGCAGGAGAAGUAAAAUCAUACCCUGUCCUAGCCACAAUUUGGAACCAUCAAUAUCACACACCGAAUUUUAAAGUUACAGUCAUGUAUGCCACCACACCCCCUUUAUUUCUGUUACAGAAACCAGUAUUAUUUCAAAAAGAACUGUGAACUUUUGUUUCCAGCAAUUACACGUAUGAUACAUUGUAUAUGUUGGUAACAGUGCAGGUUUCUAGUGUCUGUAAAUGAUUAUCUUUGCUAGUAUUUAGUUUGUUUUGUUGCAGCAGUUCGUUCACGUUACUGAAUGUUCGUUGUCCAAGUGCUACAUAUACUUGUGGAAGUACAUAUCCUUCAGUGUGCUGCCGAUCUAGUUUGCAGUGCCGGAAUUUGCUGGUGGAGGAAAUCUGCUAACUUUGUAUUGCACAAAGUUCAACUCACUUGCUUGUGCUUCUACAGGUACAACAUUCAUAAGAACACACUGUACCUGAAAACAAGAGGCCCAAAAUGUUCCAGUUGCAACAGCAGUACCAGUGAGAUCACCAGAUGGUCAGCAAGUUUUUACAGACAAUGAGGAAAUGGAGUUUGCAGUACAUGCGGUUGCCAUAUCUACAUAUGGAUUUCCAAUUACCUGUCUUGAUCUUCGGUGCAUUGCUAAGAGCUAUCUGGAUAGGACAGGGCAAAAAGUACCUGCUUUUGGAAAUAAUUUUCCUGGCAGAGAUUGGGCCGAAUCUUUUAUGAAACGUCACAAAGGCUUCAUUUCACUAACAACUGCCAAAAAUAUUACCUAUUCAAGGGCUUCAACUGAUGAAAAUAUAAUUAAUUUAUUUUCGAAUCUUGAGAAGGAGAUUGCCAGAACAAAUUUGGAACUAUGAUGAAACCAAUCUCGUUGACGACCCAGGAAACAAAAAGGUCAUCACACAGCGAGGAUGCAAGUAUCCAGAGCAAAUUCGAAACUAUUCAAAGGCUUCCACAUCGUUGAUGUUUUGUGGGAAUGCUGUAGGGAAUCUAGCACCUUUACAUAUUAACUAUAAAGCAGAAAAGAUUUGGUCCACUUGGACUGAGAAUGGACCAAAAGAGUCUACAUACAAUAGAACCAAAUUUGGGUGGUUUGAUCACCAGGUUUUUGAAGACUGGUUCAUUUUUCUCAUGUUGCCUAUUUUGAAGAAACAAAUGGGAGGGAUCGAAGAAGAGUUGAAAAUGGCCAUCAAAGCCUAAAGCCAUUUUUUAAGAUGCAGUAGUAGUUUUGUACAGCAUAAACCCACCCAAACAAAUAAGUGACAGAGGUUUAUUGCAAGUGAAUGGUGUAGAUCAAUAAGGCCAAGUUUAUUGUCAACUUGUUGAGCUGUAAUGCGUGAAACAAUAGCUAUUAGUAUUAUCAAAGCCUAGCAUUUAAAAUUCAUUUUCUAUAUUUUUUAUUUGUUCAUAAUGUUAAAAUAGUUUUAUGGGGUUAAAUUGUGACUGUAUUAUUUCCCUAUUAGUUUUAGUUGAAAAACCAGACUGUCACAAAGUCACGCCACAUUGUGGGGUGACAGUGGCAGUUAUUUUUAACUGUAAUUAGGUCAUACUUUAGUAUUUAGUUUGUGUUUGUAUGUUGUUAUGUAAUCAUUUUUAUCUAGUUCUAAUGAAUAAAAAUAAAAAGUGUCCCAAAGUCACUCCCCCCCCCCCCCCCCUACGGUAGUGACAAGGCACAUUUUCAUGUUAAUGGGUGCGUGAAUAAGCAAAUCUUUCGGUGCUGAGCUGGAAAUAUCCCCCAAGUUGUUCAUGAAAGAUCGCAUCAUUUUCCUAAAGUGACAGUGUGAUGUGCUGUAUCACAAUUUUGCAUGGUAGGUCCUUAUUCUUUUUGAGGAGGAAGGAGUGACCGUGGCAGCGAAUUCCACACCAUAUGUUUCCAGUUGCAAAAUUUUCUGCAACCCAGAAUCGACAAGAUUGUUGACGAACAUGGACUAGGGGAAUUUCAGCUGAUGUUUAGAGAGAAAUGUCUCUGGGACGCCUCAUUUCUUUGAGGUGUGAUGUUGGGUGGCCUGUGCAGUCACCAGAUUUCAGCAUUUGUGACUACUUUCUUUUGGGAUAUCUCAAGGAAAAGGUUUUCAAAAGCCGCUCUUACACCCUACCAGAGUUAAGAGUGGACUACUGAUGAAGUGAAUGCCAUACCCCACGAUAUGUGUGCAAGAGCUGCUCAAAACAAUGUUUUGUGCAAAUGGCUGCCGCCUUGAGGAUAUUAUUUUCAAAACUAAAUGAAUGUAAAAUGCUAUAUUGUACUAAUUUAGAAAAUAAAAACAUUUUUUUCUAUA
Schistocerca gregaria is the source of this 2677-nucleotide long non-coding RNA. RefSeq lists it as uncharacterized. Lineage: Eukaryota; Metazoa; Arthropoda; Insecta; Orthoptera; Acrididae. The transcript has 3 exons. The record is from RefSeq and is a predicted model, not a curated record.